Long non-coding RNA from Cotesia glomerata, 414 nucleotides. RefSeq lists it as uncharacterized. Lineage: Eukaryota; Metazoa; Arthropoda; Insecta; Hymenoptera; Braconidae. The record is from RefSeq and is a predicted model, not a curated record. The transcript is spliced from 3 exons.
GCACCUUUGUUCUAUUUUCAAGCUCAAGAUAUUUUGUCCGCUGUUCUAUUAGAAAACUAACGUGUUAUUGAAGAGACUCUACCAUUAAAAAGUAAUUAGUCACUGCUAGUAUCUAAAGAAGGCGUUGAUUGAUUUAAAUUAUAGUUAUUGAAGCCAAUUUAUUUUAGUGCUUCGGGGUCGUUUGUUCAACAACGACUUAUUUUUUCUAAGCUUCUCUUACAAAAUUUCCAACAUGAAGUUAUUGAUCAUCCUGCUGAUGAAUAUCUACCUUGCAAAGUCUUCGGAGGACCAAGUUCUUAUCCAUGGUCCCAACACUCCGGUCUACAAGUGCAAACUUGUAAACGGACAUGUUAAAGUUGAAACAGUGAGACAAAAAUUCGACAAUAAGGCAGCCAAGUACUCCUACGAUGGUAA